UACGUAGGGGGCAAGCGUUGUCCGGAAUCACUGGGCGUAAAGCGUCUGUAGGUGGUCAAAUAAGUCAACUGUUAAAUCUUGAGGCUCAACCUCAAAAUCGCAGUCGAAACUAUUCGACUAGAGUAUAGUAGGGGUAAAGGGAAUUUCCAGUGGAGCGGUGAAAUGCGUAGAGAUUGGAAAGAACACCGAUGGCGAAGGCACUUUACUGGGCUAUUACUAACACUGAGAGACGAAAGCUAGGGUAGCAAAUGGG
RNAcentral lists this ribosomal RNA (253 nucleotides) under uncultured bacterium. RNAcentral describes it as "partial 16S ribosomal RNA". It matches the Rfam family "Bacterial small subunit ribosomal RNA", at positions 524 to 776 of the family's 1533-position model. The record is from RNAcentral.